GAAAUGCGAUAAGUAAUGUGAAUUGCAGAAUUCCGUGAAUCAUCGAAUCUUUGAACGCACAUUGCGCCCUCUGGUAUUCCGGGGGGCAUGCCUGUCCGAGCGUCAUUGCGAACCCCUCAAGCACGGCUUGUGUGAUGGGCCCUCCCGCGUCUUGGUCGUCAAGACGGGCCCGAAAUGCAGUGGCGGCUUCGCGGUUAUCCGAUCAGCCAGAGCGUAUGGGGACUUUCUCUCUGUCACACGCCCGCGGCGCGGACCGACGCCUGUCGACCUUCAUUCAUCGUUUUCUCGAUUGACCUCGGAUCAGGUAGGGAUACCCGCUGAACUUAAGC
This 329-nucleotide unclassified non-coding RNA is filed under the name plant metagenome. RNAcentral describes it as "partial contains 5.8S ribosomal RNA, internal transcribed spacer 2, and large subunit ribosomal RNA". The stretch from base 1 to 105 matches the Rfam family "5.8S ribosomal RNA", at positions 50 to 154 of the family's 154-position model. The record is from RNAcentral.